CCCUUAGAUGUUCUGGGCCGCACGCGCGCUACACUGAUUCAUGUAACAAGUUUUGUCCUUGGCUGAUAGGCCUGGGUAAUCUUUGAACGUGAAUCGUGAUGGGGAUAGAUGAUUGCAAUUAUUCAUCUUCAACGAGGAAUUCCUAGUAAACGCAAGUCAUCAGCUUGCAUUGAUUACGUCCCUGCCCUUUGUACACACCGCCCGUCGCACCUACCGAUUGAAUGGUCCGGUGAAAUCUUCGGAUCUGAGAGAUGUCUGAUUAAUUUCGGACGCCUUUUGGAAAAGUUGCUUAAACCUUACCAUUUAGAGGAAGGUGAANUCGUANCA
Molecule: ribosomal RNA, 327 nt
Filed under: uncultured eukaryote
Lineage: Eukaryota
Description: partial 18S ribosomal RNA
Rfam family: Eukaryotic small subunit ribosomal RNA
Source: RNAcentral